This 411-nucleotide ribosomal RNA is filed under the name uncultured microorganism. RNAcentral's name for it is "bacterial SSU rRNA". It matches the Rfam family "Archaeal small subunit ribosomal RNA", at positions 330 to 745 of the family's 1478-position model. The record is from RNAcentral.
GUGCAGCAGGCGCGAAUACUUUACAAUGUGCGAAAGCACGAUAAGGGAACUCUGAGUGCCUCCUAAGGAGGCUGUUCAGGUGUCUAAAAGCACCUGAAGGAAGGGCUAGGUAAGACCGGUGCCAGCCGCCGCGGUAACACCGGCAGCCCAAGUGGUAGCCACGUUUAUUGGGUCUAAAGCGUCCGUAGCCGGCUGGGUAAGUUCCUUGGGAAAUUUGGCUGCUUAACAAUCAAGCUUUCAGGGAAUACUGCCCGGCUUGGGGACCGGGAGAGGUCAGAGGUACUCCAGGGGUAGGGGUGAAAUCCAUUAAUCCUUGGGGGACCACCGGUAGCGAAGGCGUCUGACCAGACCGGGUCCGACGGUGAGGGACGAAGGCUAGGGGGCGCGAACCGGAUUAGAUACCCGUGUAGU